AGUGAACGCUGGCGGUAGGCCUAACACAUGCAAGUCGAACGGCAGCACAGUAAGAGCUUGCUCUUACGGGUGGCGAGUGGCGGACGGGUGAGGAAUACAUCGGAAUCUACUUUUUCGUGGGGGAUAACGUAGGGAAACUUACGCUAAUACCGCAUACGACCUACGGGUGAAAGCAGGGGAUCUUCGGACCUUGCGCGAUUGAAUGAGCCGAUGUCGGAUUAGCUAGUUGGCGGGGUAAAGGCCCACCAAGGCGACGAUCCGUGGCUGGUCUGAGAGGAUGAUCAGCCACACUGGAACUGAGACACGGUCCAGACUCCUACGGGAGGCGGCAGUGGGGAAUAUUGGACAAUGGGCGCAAGCCUGAUCCAGCCAUACCGCGUGGGUGAAGAAGGCCUUCGGGUUGUAAAGCCCUUUUGUUGGGAAAGAAAAGCAGCAGGUUAAUACCCCGCUGUUCUGACGGUACCCAAAGAAUAAGCACCGGCUAACUUCGUG
Molecule: ribosomal RNA, 492 nt
Filed under: uncultured bacterium
Lineage: Bacteria
Description: partial 16S ribosomal RNA
Rfam family: Bacterial small subunit ribosomal RNA
Source: RNAcentral